Small nuclear RNA from Nannospalax galili (Upper Galilee mountains blind mole rat), 118 nucleotides. Its record names the gene U5. It matches the Rfam family "U5 spliceosomal RNA". From Rfam's summary of the family: U5 RNA is a component of both types of known spliceosome. The precise function of this molecule is unknown, though it is known that the 5' loop is required for splice site selection and p220 binding, and that both the 3' stem-loop and the Sm site are important for Sm protein binding and cap methylation. The record is from Ensembl. NCBI's taxonomy places the organism in Eukaryota, Metazoa, Chordata, Mammalia, Rodentia, Spalacidae.
GUACUCUGGUUUCUCUUCAAAGCGUAUAAAUCUUUCGCCUUUUACUAAAGAUUUCCGUGGAGAGGAACAACUCUGAGUCUUAAUCCAAAUUUUUUGAGGCCUUACAGACAGUAAGGCU